RNAcentral lists this ribosomal RNA (254 nucleotides) under uncultured bacterium. Its description in RNAcentral is "partial 16S ribosomal RNA". It matches the Rfam family "Bacterial small subunit ribosomal RNA", at positions 524 to 776 of the family's 1533-position model. The record is from RNAcentral.
UACGGGGGGAGCAAGCGUUGUUCGGAUUUACUGGGCGUAAAGGGCGCGUAGGCGGUCAGCACAAGUCAGUUGUGAAAUCUCCGGGCCUAACUCGGAAAGGUCAACUGAUACUGUGCGACUAGAGUGCGGAAGGGGCAACUGGAAUUCUCGGUGUAGCGGUGAAAUGCGUAGAUAUCGAGAGGAACACCUGCGGCGAAGGCGGGUUGCUGGGCCGACACUGACGCUGAUGCGCGAAAGCCAGGGGAGCGAACGGG